CCGCGUGCAGGAAGAAGGCCUUCGGGUUGUAAACUGCUUUUGUACAGAACGAAAAGGNUUUUAUUAAUACNAGGGGCUCAUGACGGUACUGUAAGAAUAAGCACCGGCUAACUACGUGCCAGCAGCCGCGGUAAUACGUAGGGUGCAAGCGUUAAUCGGAAUUACUGGGCGUAAAGCGUGCGCAGGCGGUUAUAUAAGACAGNNGUGAAAUCCCCGGGCUCAACCUGGGAANGGCANUUGUGACUGUAUAGCUGGAGUGCGGCAGAGGGGGAUGGAAUUCCGCGUGUAGCAGUGAAAUGCGUAGAUAUGCGGAGGAACACCGAUGGCGAAGGCAAUCCCCUGGGCCUGCACUGACGCUCAUGCACGAAAGCGUGGGGAGCAAACAGGAUUAGAUACCCUGGUAGUCCACGCCCUAAACAAUG
RNAcentral lists this ribosomal RNA (422 nucleotides) under beta proteobacterium Z7. Its description in RNAcentral is "bacterial SSU rRNA". It matches the Rfam family "Bacterial small subunit ribosomal RNA", at positions 397 to 811 of the family's 1533-position model. The record is from RNAcentral. Lineage: Bacteria; Pseudomonadati; Pseudomonadota; Betaproteobacteria.